GGCUCGUUGGUCUACGGGUAUGAUUCCUGCUUCGGGUGCAGGAGGUCCCGGGUUCAAAUCCCGGACGAGCCC
RNAcentral lists this transfer RNA (72 nucleotides) under Schistocerca americana (American grasshopper). RNAcentral's name for it is "tRNA-Pro". It matches the Rfam family "tRNA". Rfam says of the family: Transfer RNA (tRNA) molecules are approximately 80 nucleotides in length. Their secondary structure includes four short double-helical elements and three loops (D, anti-codon, and T loops). The record is from RNAcentral. Lineage: Eukaryota; Metazoa; Arthropoda; Insecta; Orthoptera; Acrididae.